RNAcentral lists this long non-coding RNA (1494 nucleotides) under Chrysolophus pictus (golden pheasant). RNAcentral describes it as "lncRNA (ENSCPIG00010011232.1)". Lineage: Eukaryota; Metazoa; Chordata; Aves; Galliformes; Phasianidae. The record is from RNAcentral.
AACAUUGCUCCUAUUAUUGCAAAUGCAAUGUACUUUGAGAUCUGACAUGGGGAACUUGGAGCUGGCUGUCGGGGUAUGCAGGAGAAAAAGGUGGAAGAAAUGGUUCUCUUGCUGUUCACUAGUGUUUGGAGAGAAUGGGAGGUUCCUUCUCAAAAUCUAAACCAGUUACACCAGAACCCAUUUCCACUACUGUCACAGUACAUACCACUGUACAGACUUCUACUGCUGCCUUACCAGACUCAGAAGACAAAUCCUUGUUUGAUAACCCUGAAAUAUUCUACUUAGCAUUAGCCUUUAUCUCUGGCAUCCUGUCAACUCUUCUGGUGGUUGCAAUCGUCUUCCUCAUCAGAAAAAGGUAUAAGAGAUCCCACGAAAAUCUACAAGAACAAGUUCCCUCCAAGGUACAGCGUGAGGAAUCUGCUGAAAACACCCAGAAUGAGGUUUCUUAUGCCUCUGUGGUCAUCAAGCCCCGACCGAAAGCAGCACCUGUGUGACAAUGGAAUUCAACACAUGAACACCUGCACUUUCUGCAUGUUGGAUGCCAUGGGAUUGUUGCACGGAGGACUGCAGUGCUCUGUGAGAUAUCCAGGCUGCAGUACAUAACAUCAGCUGAAUUCAUAGCGAGGAGGGGAAAACAGCAUCUCCAGCUCUACAACUCUUGCCAACACUGGGGACAAGUUGCUUUCUACACCACCUUCCCUCAUCUAGAACGAUCCUGGUGACAACCUAUUGCACAGUUUCCGUGUGGUUUCCGCUAUUGCUGGGAACUGCCGAGGAGAACUGAAAAACAGAAGUGUUUAUCUGCACCUGUCCACAUCUGUGCCCUUUAUUUCCCUGUUCAGUCACUGGCUGCAGCAUUUUUGAUAAGGGUGCCCAGUGCUUUGGUUAAACCACUGAACUUUAUUAUGAUGCACCACUGCGGGGCAGCACCGAGCGGCCGCUGGAAACACCCGAACAAAGUUUGAUCUGCGUUAUUCUAAGGUGUAAUGUUUUGUGUUUUCUGUUUGUUUGUUUGUUUUCUCUGCUGAAAGCAGUCGGUUCCAUCUACUGGCAGCGAUCGCAUCGCCAGGUUGUGAUGUACUCGUGCAGUGACUUCCUUUGCCAGCUGCUUUGUUAAGGGUGGGACCAUGUAACGGGGUGGGUUUGGGCAGCAGCAAAGAUUACAUCAGAUUCUGAACUAAGAUCUCUGAUCUUUGUUAAAGGAGCAUGCACUGGUGUCUAUGUAGCUUACUGAGCUACUUAACAGAAUGAUGCACUCCCCUUUGGUUUUUUUCCUAUACCACUUUUACUGUGCAAAGGCGGAGAAAAAAGAGCCUUGCCUUUAAUUGCCUGUGUUCAGUUUAACCUAUGUUCCCUGAAACUAAGCUGUGCAAGCUGUGCUAUAGCAUCUACUGCAGUUUCUGAGCUGUUGGGACACCUGCUAAAACAGAGCAAGGAUUUCAUGCAACAUGUUGACUUUGCAUAAAAUCCACUUAAUAUUUAUUAUCCUUAAUG